Mirounga angustirostris (Northern elephant seal) is the source of this 742-nucleotide long non-coding RNA. RefSeq lists it as uncharacterized. The transcript is spliced from 2 exons. Lineage: Eukaryota; Metazoa; Chordata; Mammalia; Carnivora; Phocidae. The record is from RefSeq and is a predicted model, not a curated record.
GCUAAGUAAUCUGCUUGGGUUUGCUCUCCAGAGCUUUUGAUCCCUGCGAGCUUUCCGUACAGCUUUGGAGGCGGGGAGUGAAAAUGGCAGCCUCCCAAUGUCCGCCCCGGAGGAGCCGAGAACUCGGGGCCCCGCUCCUCAGUGAGCCCCCAGAGCAAAGCCGUCAGUCACUCCCGUCUCCACGGUCUCCGGCCACACUCCGUGCUCACCCGGCCUGUGACCGCACGUUUCUAUCUCUGGCCCCCGACCCCGUGUGGAGUCUCCAAACCCAGCAGAUCCCUGCGGUGCGCUCCCACGCGGCUCCUCCCGGGGGAGGAAGGGCAGCAUCUCAGUAAGUGUGCUCAUGGAGUGGCAAGCCUGCAAGAAGAAAUCCCCUCAGCAACGAUGAGGAAAGAUCUCUGCUUUCCAGCAUCUCCUUCCAAGAGACGUUUUUUAGUGUCUUACUCUUCUAUUCCUUCUCAUCUUCCCUCCCUCUCCUAAAUUCAGAAGAUCUUCAUCUCUCCUGAGAGGGAAGGUUGUUCUGCUUGGAUGCAUAGCCUUCCAAUCUUCCUAUCUUACAUCUGAACCACAGCUUUAGAAUUAAAAGCCAAAAUCUGAUACCUCACUUCCCUCGUUAUAUAAUGAUAAACUUCCCUAAAACAAAGGAUUGCUCAUGUGUAACAUGAAAUGAGGAAAGGUCAAGGGACAAAAAUGGAAUGUAACACACACACACACACACACACACACACACAAAACCCCUCAA